Long non-coding RNA from Solea senegalensis (Senegalese sole), 704 nucleotides. RefSeq lists it as uncharacterized. The transcript has 2 exons. NCBI's taxonomy places the organism in Eukaryota, Metazoa, Chordata, Actinopteri, Pleuronectiformes, Soleidae. The record is from RefSeq and is a predicted model, not a curated record.
CUCGUGGUUGUCCUGAAUGUCUACGUUGAUCACAUGCACAGGCUGGAAAGUCACCUGCUCUCUCGAGGUGAUGACCAGGUCAAACUUGUCCUUGCAGUUUUGGAAGCGCUCCGGCUUGGACUUGAUGCGCUUGUUGCGGUCCAGCAUGUGCAGGAUGCCGUUCUGUGUGUAUCUGAAGAGCGAGGUCGGUCAAGGAACACAGCAGGAGUGGUGGAGACACUUCAAGGUCAUACAACACAGUCAUCAGAAACUGGAUCUCAAACACCUCACUAAGACUGUGAAAAGGUAGACUCUGUAUUUUACUUGCACUUGGUGAGCGUGUAUAGGUGUCAACAGAAGGUACACACACACAGCUUCCAUAGUGUCUAUAUUAGUGACACAACAGCACCCCCUAGUGGGGUAAGAACAAAAAUACUACUUGUUAGUGGCUGGCAGAAAAAAAAAAAAGGGGAAGGAGGCGGACUGGCACGUCAUAGAAUCCAAGUAUCACGUGAGAAGUGCACAGACUACGAUUAAGCCAUUCAAUGACAUUUCAGUAUUUAAUGUGAAGGACAAAACCAUUGAUACUAGCAAGACUGUUACUAAACGGUGAGAGGACAAAAACAAAACAACUACAGUGGUCGUCUAGGAUGGGAUAUAUUUGCCCAAACUACAAGAAUACACAAUGUUUACAUAAAUAAACAAAACAGGUAUGAAAAGGCCAA